RNAcentral lists this ribosomal RNA (491 nucleotides) under uncultured bacterium. Its description in RNAcentral is "partial 16S ribosomal RNA". It matches the Rfam family "Bacterial small subunit ribosomal RNA", at positions 29 to 506 of the family's 1533-position model. The record is from RNAcentral.
AGUGAACGCUGGCGGUAGGCCUAACACAUGCAAGUCGAACGGCAGCACAGUAAGAGCUUGCUCUUACGGGUGGCGAGUGGCGGACGGGUGAGGAAUACAUCGGAAUCUACUUUUUCGUGGGGGAUAACGUAGGGAAACUUACGCUAAUACCGCAUACGACCUACGGGUGAAAGCAGGGGAUCUUCGGACCUUGCGCGAUUGAAUGAGCCGAUGUCGGAUUAGCUAGUUGGCGGGGUAAAGGCCCACCAAGGCGACGAUCCGUAGCUGGUCUGAGAGGAUGAUCAGCCACACUGGAACUGAGACACGGUCCAGACUCCUACGGGAGGCAGCAGUGGGGAAUAUUGGACAAUGGGCGCAAGCCUGAUCCAGCCAUACUGCGUGGGUGAAGAAGGCCUUCGGGUUGUAAAGCCCUUUUGUUGGGAAAGAAAAGCAGCAGGUUAAUACCCCGCUGUUCUGACGGUACCCAAAGAAUAAGCACCGGCUAACUUCGU